RNAcentral lists this ribosomal RNA (821 nucleotides) under uncultured Marinobacter sp. RNAcentral's name for it is "bacterial SSU rRNA". It matches the Rfam family "Bacterial small subunit ribosomal RNA", at positions 8 to 822 of the family's 1533-position model. The record is from RNAcentral. Lineage: Bacteria; Pseudomonadati; Pseudomonadota; Gammaproteobacteria; Pseudomonadales; Marinobacteraceae.
AGAGUUUGAUCAUGGCUCAGAUUGAACGCUGGCGGCAGGCUUAACACAUGCAAGUCGAGCGGUAACAGGGGGAGCUUGCUCCCUGCUGACGAGCGGCGGACGGGUGAGUAAUGCAUAGGAAUCUGCCCAGUAGUGGGGGAUAGCCCGGGGAAACCCGGAUUAAUACCGCAUACGCCCUUUGGGGGAAAGCAGGGGAUCUUCGGACCUUGCGCUAUUGGAUGAGCCUAUGUCGGAUUAGCUAGUUGGUGGGGUAACGGCCCACCAAGGCGACGAUCCGUAGCUGGUCUGAGAGGAUGAUCAGCCACAUCGGGACUGAGACACGGCCCGAACUCCUACGGGAGGCAGCAGUGGGGAAUAUUGGACAAUGGGGGCAACCCUGAUCCAGCCAUGCCGCGUGUGUGAAGAAGGCUUUCGGGUUGUAAAGCACUUUCAGUGAGGAGGAAAACCUUAUGGCGAAUACCCAUGAGGCUUGACGUUACUCACAGAAGAAGCACCGGCUAACUCCGUGCCAGCAGCCGCGGUAAUACGGAGGGUGCAAGCGUUAAUCGGAAUUACUGGGCGUAAAGCGCGCGUAGGUGGUUUGAUAAGCGAGAUGUGAAAGCCCCGGGCUUAACCUGGGAACGGCAUUUCGAACUGUCAGGCUAGAGUGUGGUAGAGGGUAGUGGAAUUUCCUGUGUAGCGGUGAAAUGCGUAGAUAUAGGAAGGAACACCAGUGGCGAAGCGGCUACCUGGACCAACACUGACACUGAGUGCGAAAGUGUGGGGAGCAAACAGGAUUAGAUACCCUGGUAGUCCACGCCGUAAACGAUGUCAACUAGCCG